CCUACGGGUGGCAGCAGUGAGGAAUAUUGGUCAAUGGGCGGAAGCCUGAACCAGCCAAGUCGCGUGAGGGAAUAAGGCCCUACGGGUCGUAAACCUCUUUUGCCGGGGAGCAAGGGCCGGGACGCGUCCCGGCCCGGAGAGUACCCGGAGAAAAAGCAUCGGCUACCUCCGGGCCAGCGGCCGCGGUAAUACGGGGGAUGCGAGCGUUAUCGGGAUUUAUUGGGUUUAAAGGGUGCGUAGGCGGGCUUUUAAGUCAGCGGUAAAGAUUCGGGUCUAAACGCCGUACGGCCGUUGAAACUGGGGGCCUUGAGUGGGCGAGAGGAAGGCGGAAUGCGUGGUGUAGCGGUGAAAUGCAUAGAUAUCACGCAGAACCCCGAUUGCGAAGGCAGCCUUCCGGCGCCCUACUGACGCUGAGGCGCGAAAGUGCGGGGAUCGAACAGGAUUAGAUACCCUGGUAGUC
This 460-nucleotide ribosomal RNA is filed under the name uncultured bacterium. RNAcentral describes it as "partial 16S ribosomal RNA". It matches the Rfam family "Bacterial small subunit ribosomal RNA", at positions 338 to 795 of the family's 1533-position model. The record is from RNAcentral.